GGAGAGGGCUAGCGUUAUUCGGAAUUAUUGGGCGUAAAGGGCGCGUAGGCGGAUUAGUAAGUUAAAAGUGAAAUCCCAAGGCUCAACCUUGGAAUUGCUUAUAAAACUGCUAAUCUAGAGAUUGAAAGAGGAUAGAGGAAUUCCUAGUGUAGAGGUGAAAUUCGUAAAUAUUAGGAGGAACACCAGUGGCGAAGGCGUCUAUCUGGUUCAAAUCUGACGCUGAGGCGCGAAGGCGUGGGGAGCAAACAGGAUUAGAUACCCUGGUAGUCCACGCUGUAAACGAUGAAUGUUAAAUAUGGGGAGUUUACUUUCUGUAUUACAGCUAACGCGUUAAACAUUCCGCCUGGGGACUACGGUCGCAAGAUUAAAACUCAAAGGAAUUGACGGGGACCCGCACAAGCGGUGGAGCAUGUGGUUUAAUUCGAUGCAACGCGAAAAACCUUACCACUCCUUGACAUGGAAAUUAUACCUAUUCGAAGGGAUAGGGUCGGUUCGGCCGGGUUUCACACAGGUGU
Molecule: ribosomal RNA, 515 nt
Filed under: bacterium symbiont of Megymenum gracilicorne
Lineage: Bacteria
Description: bacterial SSU rRNA
Rfam family: Bacterial small subunit ribosomal RNA
Source: RNAcentral